RNAcentral lists this ribosomal RNA (253 nucleotides) under uncultured bacterium. RNAcentral describes it as "partial 16S ribosomal RNA". It matches the Rfam family "Bacterial small subunit ribosomal RNA", at positions 524 to 776 of the family's 1533-position model. The record is from RNAcentral.
UACGUAGGGUGCAAGCGUUGUCCGGAAUUAUUGGGCGUAAAGAGCUCGUAGGUGGCCUGUCGCGUCGGCUGUGAAAACUCGGGGCUCAACUCCGAGCUUGCAGUCGAUACGGGCAGGCUAGAGUUCGGCAGGGGAGACUGGAAUUCCUGGUGUAGCGGUGAAAUGCGCAGAUAUCAGGAGGAACACCGGCGGCGAAGGCGGGUCUCUGGGCCGAUACUGACACUGAGGAGCGAAAGCGUGGGGAGCGAACAGG